This 1453-nucleotide long non-coding RNA is filed under the name Homo sapiens (human). Its description in RNAcentral is "HSALNT0161292". The record is from RNAcentral. Lineage: Eukaryota; Metazoa; Chordata; Mammalia; Primates; Hominidae.
GGCGGCCGCGGGGAGGUUCGGGGCGGCGCAGCCCCGCGCGGUUGUGGGAUCGCUCCCGGGGGCCGCUCCUCUCUCGGGCACUGGGGUCGCGGGAGACGUCGUCGGGAGCUCGGUUUCUGGAGGCCCUUCCCCACCCGGCCUCUGCCUCCUCCACUCCCCCGGGCUGGACGGAACGGGGCCCAGCGCGGGAUGCGAGAAAUAACCAUGGAUAUGGGUAGAGACAGAGCCAUAUGGAAUGCACACUGCAGUGGUGAACACAUGGCCCAGCUCUGCCAUCAAGGAGAAGGAACAUGAAUGGAGCUGGAGGCCAUCAUCCUUAGUGAACUAACACAGGAGCAGAAAACCAAAUACCACAUGUUCUCAUGUGUAAGUGGGAGCUAAAUGAUGAGAACACAUGGACACAAAGAGGGGAACAACAGACACUGAAGCCUCCUUGAGGGAGGAGGGUAAGAGGAAGGAGAAGAUCAGAAAAGAUAACUACCAGGUACUAUGGUAGCUUAGUACCUGGGUGAUGAAAUAAUCUGUACACCCAACCCUCAUGACAGAAGUUUACCUGUGUAACAAACCUGCACAUGUAUCCCUGAAACUAAAAGUUUUUUAAAAAGUUAUUUAAUAUAUAUAUAUUUUUUUGAGACGGAGUUUUGCUCUUGUUGCCCAGGCUGGAGUGCGGUGGCGCAAUUUCGGCUCACCACAACCUCCGCCUCCCAGGUUCAAGCUAUUCCCCUGCCUCAGCCUCCCUAGUAGCUGGGAUUACAGGCUUGUGCCACCACGCCGGCUAAUUUUGUAUUUUUUGUAGAGACGGGGUUUCUCCAUGUUGGUCAGGCUGGUCUCGAACUCCCGACCUCAGGUGAUCCACCCCCCUCGGCCUCCCAAAGUGCUAGGAUUACAGGCAUGAGCCACUGCGCCCGGCAAAAAGUUAUUUAAUAUUAAUGGGACAAUACUCAUUGCAAGAAUCAGACUUCAAUUGCUAGCAUAAGUAAAUGACAGGCAGGAGAUAUUGAAAAUGCAAUCUUAUAGACAUUCAAGGAGAGGACGCAGGACAUUUCUGUGUCAUAAAUGUACUAUGGAAAAUAAAAAUGAGAAAAAUGGAAAUAAAAUACAAGAAAAGGUUAUGAUAAAUUUCAUAUUAUUUUACCACAAUAAAAAAAUUUUAAUAAAUUAUAAAUGGUGUGAUAUGUUUUGCCUGUGUUCCACCCAAAUCUCAUCUUGAAUUAGAGCUCCCACAAUUCCCACGUGUUGUGGCUGGGACCCUGUGGGAGAUAAUUGAAUCAUGGGGGCAGUUUACCCCAUACUGUUCUCUUGGUGGUGAAUAAGUCUCAUGAGAGUUGAUGGUUUGAUAAGGGGUUUCCCCUUUUGCUUGGCUCUCAUUCUCUCUUGACUGCCACCAUGUAAGAUGUGCCUUUUGCCUUCCACCAUGAUUGUGAAGCCUCCCAGCCACAUGGAACUGUGAGUC